Molecule: long non-coding RNA, 256 nt
Filed under: Lathyrus oleraceus (garden pea)
Lineage: Eukaryota; Viridiplantae; Streptophyta; Magnoliopsida; Fabales; Fabaceae
Description: Pisum sativum (pea) long non-coding RNA (PSAT_LNC010131)
Source: RNAcentral
GAGAAAAUUAAUCAAAGUUUGUUUGACUAUGUUGAACCUAUGAGAAUUUAAUUGGACUUUUUGAAGUUUAUUUGAAUUGAAUUUGAGUUUCAACCUUAUUUGUUUAUUUUUUAUUUGCAUUUUAUUUUAAUUUAAAAAAUACCAAAAAAAUAUUGUUGACUUCUUGACUUGUUAUCUUCAUUUCUCUUCUGUUUGGUGUGGAUUGAUAUUGAUUUGAUUCACAUUUGAUCAAUUGGAUUUGGUUGUGGUCUUCUUU